ACCUCAAGGUAAAGGAUGAACCAUGACCUCAGGGUAAAGGAUGAACCAUGACCCCAGGGUAAAGGAUGAACUAUGACCUCAGGGUAAAGGAUGAACUAUGACCUCAGGGUACAGAAGGUUCCUCUCUUUGCAUUUAUUUUUUUCAAUUCCGACAAAAAUGGAAGAAAAAAAGUCCAGUUGAACGCAGCUCCAGACGAGUCUUGGGUUACGAUUGUCUCUUAGAUAUGAAGUAUACAUACACCAACACCUGUAAGUCCAUGUUUGGGUCCCAAAUGGCACCCUAUUCCCUAUGUAGUGCACUACUUUUGACCAGGGCCCUAUGGCCAAUGGCACCCUAUUCCCUAUGUAGUGCACUACUUUAGACCAGGGCCCUAUGGCCAAUGGCACCCUAUUCCCUAUGUAGUGCACUACUUUCGACCAGGGCCCUAUGGCCAAUGGCACCCUAUUCCCUAUGUAGUGCACUACUUUCGACCAGGGCCCAUUUGGGAGACAGCCUAUAAGUCCUAUCAAGAUAGAUAGAUAGUCCUCUAUCUAUUUUAGUGUGCCCAAAAGCCUGUUUUAGCAUGGACAGUAACAUUGAGGACUUUCACCAUUUUGAAGUAGUCAACUGGGCAGGACAUCCUGUGGGUUAAGGAAGGAUCACAUAAUUCCAUCGAGGUCACAAGGUGUGGGGGCAGUGAAUCACCAACCUUGGCUUUGUGCCUGUUUAAAUAACACCCUCCAGGUGGCUGUGAAUCGCCAACCUUGGCUUUGUGCCUGUUUAAAUAACACCCUCCAGGUGGCUGUGAAUCGCCAACCUUGGCUUUGUGCCUGUUUAAAUAACACCCUCCAGGUGGCUGUGAAUCGCCAACCUUGGCUUUGUGCCUGUUUAAAUAACACCCUCCAGGUGGCUGUGAAUCGCCAACCUUGACUUUGUGCCUGUUUAAAUAACACCCUCCAGGUGGCAGUACGCACCCUUUCAGUUUAUUUACCAACUCAUAGAAGGAGUAGAAGAAGAAAAAAUGAACUACUUCAAAAUGGAGAUGGCCACAGUCUGUGCAUUAUGGUCGUCUGUGCGCUCACAGACACCAUAAUGGGACAGAAUACAAUGUUGGCGAUCUCUUAACAUCUCUAUGGUGGCAGGAAUCAACGUGACCUUUAACCUCUAUAUUGGGUUAUUUUCUUUCUUGAUGCUCAGACUGUGGAUCCAAAUAAAGUGUUCCAGUGUGUUCUUGCUCCAGAAUCCCCUAUAGGUACAGAUCUAGGAUCAGCUUCCCCCUCCCCCAAUCCUAACCUUAACUAUUAGUGGGGGUGGUGGGGGGGGGACAAUGUUAAACUGACCCAAGAUCAGUGUCUAGGGGAAACUUCACCCGUCUCCAUGUUUAAUAGUCCAAUGGAGUCCGAAAGAGCAUUGUUUAUUGUUUUGCAUGUGCUGGCCGGUGGGUGUUACAGUGUGUGUUACAGUCUUAAUAGUCCGUAGUGCUACAAAAGAGCUGUUAAAAGAAGGUUCCCCCUGGUGGCAGUGGUCUCCAUGUACAAAGGCUACAGGUCAUGAAGACUGAACGGCUGCAUUCCAAAUGGCAACCUAUUCCCUAUGUAGUGCACUACUUUUGACCAGAGCCCUUUGUGCAGUAUAAAGGGAAUAGGUUGCCAUUUGGGACACAACCCAUGGCCUUGGUUGGGGCGAGGCAGACACUGCCUCGGGUGUCAGGGCCUUGGUUGGGGCGAGGCAGACACUGCCUCGGGUGUCAGGGCCUUGGUUGGGGCGAGGCAGACACUGCCUCGGGUGUCAGGGCCUUGGUUGGGGCGAGGCAGACGCUGCCUCGGGUGUCAGGGCAGGUGACAUCACUUUGUUCCACGGUGGGAAAAUGUUUACUAGCUAGCUACCUCACACCUGCAACACUUCCUCCAUCGCUCUUCCCCCAUCUCUCCUCCUCUUCCUCCACCUCUCCUCAUCCGCCAUCUCUCCUCCUCUUCCUCCAUCUCUCCUCCUCUUCCUUCAUCUCUCCUCCCCUUCCUCCAUCUCUCCUCCUCUUCCUCCAUCUCUCCUCCUCUUCCUCCAUCUCUCCUCCUCUUCCUCCAUCUCUCCUCCUCUUCCUCCAUCUCUCCUCCUCU
Molecule: long non-coding RNA, 2094 nt
Organism: Oncorhynchus tshawytscha (Chinook salmon)
Lineage: Eukaryota; Metazoa; Chordata; Actinopteri; Salmoniformes; Salmonidae
Source: Ensembl